This 757-nucleotide ribosomal RNA is filed under the name Triticum aestivum (bread wheat). RNAcentral's name for it is "partial small subunit ribosomal RNA". Lineage: Eukaryota; Viridiplantae; Streptophyta; Magnoliopsida; Poales; Poaceae. The record is from RNAcentral.
CGUCCCCCGAAGGGCGUUUUGCAUUGGGGGCGGCCGGGCGGGGCGGGGAGGGGAGGGGAGCAGGAGAAGGAGGAGUCUGUUCGGGAGGGGGAGAAGCGGAGGCGGCGGGGGCGAGGCCAAGCGGAGGCGGUGGCGGGGCGUCCAGCGGCGGUCGAAGCGAAGCAUGGCUACCGCCUUCUUCGUCGACGGUUACAAUUCCUCCUCCUCCUCAAGUCGUGGCCGGGGGACAGGGACGAGGACUACUCGCAGUUCUUGUUAUGAGUCCACGAAUAGUUGACGGCCUUGUUGUUCUUCGAUGAACCAGCACACUCCCGUAAACUGGCAGUGACGUUGUACCAAGAACUCUUACAAGCCCUCUACACCUGACUCCAAGGUUUCUGACCGUUUCCGUUCUUCUUCCGGGAAGGUCACUUGUUCCUGUCCAAGUAGUCGUUCUACAAGGAGGCGCCGCUGAGCCAGUAGUAACAAGAUUCCUUGGGCUUUACUCAAUCUGCUGCUGCUGUGGAGCAUGAGGGUCUUAUCAGAGAAACGAUACAUCAGGGACAAUUCAAACAUUAUGACAUAUGAGAUUUUGUCACUCACAAAUUCUCUACUAUAGUUCGGCUCUAAAUCGUCAUAGCUAAUGACCAGGUCACAACAUCAAACCCUACAAGACUCAAAACGGACAGGACAUAGAUUUAACGUGAGCAUCAAAGAUAAGUCUAGUAGUUAUAUAGUCGUCUCCUGUUAAAUUAAAACUCUUUACAAACUAAACGGU